GUGCCAGCAGCCGCGGUAAUACGUAGGGUGCGAGCGUUAAUCGGAAUUACUGGGCGUAAAGUGUGCGCAGGCGGCACCGCAAGUCGAGUGUGAAAGCCCCGGGCUUAACUUGGGAAUUGCGCUCGAAACUAUGGUGCUGGAGUGUGGCAGAGGAAGGUGGAAUUCCAGGUGUAGCGGUGAAAUGCGUAGAGAUCUGGAGGAACACCGAUGGCGAAGGCAGCCUUCUGGGCCAACACUGACGCUCAUGCACGAAAGCGUGGGGAGCAAACAGGAUUAGAUACCCGAGUAGUCC
This 292-nucleotide ribosomal RNA is filed under the name uncultured bacterium. RNAcentral's name for it is "partial 16S ribosomal RNA". It matches the Rfam family "Bacterial small subunit ribosomal RNA", at positions 505 to 796 of the family's 1533-position model. The record is from RNAcentral.